AUGUCGGGCGCGCGGGGCGGUGGGCGCGUGGCCCCUCCUCCCAGCGAGCGCGCGGCAGCCGCGGCGGCGGCGGCGGCAGCGGGGGGGGGAGGAGGAGGAGGAGGCGAGGAGGCGGCGCCUGUGUCGGCGCUGGAGGUUGUGUCCUUCCUAGGGAAGCUGCUGUGCGCAGUCGCGGCGCUGAAGGCGGCUCUGUACCUGCUCCGCAGAGUGUGUCUAGCGAUGGCCUGGAAGUCGGGAGGCGCCAGCCACUCCGAGCUCAUCCACAACCUCCGCAAAAAUGGAAUAAUCAAAACAGACAAGGUAUUUGAAGUAAUGCUGGCUACAGACCGUUGCCACUAUGCAAAAUACAACCCUUAUAUGGAUUCUCCACAGUCUAUAGGUUUCCAAGCAACAAUUAGUGCUCCACAUAUGCAUGCAUAUGCUCUUGAACUUCUGUCUGAUCAGUUACAUGAAGGAGCCAAAGCACUUGAUGUAGGAUCUGGAAGUGGAAUCCUUACAGCAUGCUUUUCACGAAUGGUUGGUCCCAAAGGACAAGUUGUAGGAAUUGAUCAUAUCAAAGAACUAGUAGAUGACUCAAUAAAUAAUGUCAAAAAAGAUGACCCCACAUUGCUGUCUUCAGGAAGAGUGAAACUGAUUGUGGGAGAUGGAAGAAUGGGAUAUGCAGAAGAAGCUCCCUAUGAUGCCAUUCAUGUAGGAGCUGCAGCACCAGUUGUGCCCCAAGCACUUAUAGAUCAGUUAAAACCUGGCGGAAGAUUGAUAUUACCAGUUGGUCCUGCAGGGGGAAACCAGAUGCUCGAACAGUAUGACAAACUAGAAGAUGGCAGUGUCAAAAUGAAGCCUCUGAUGGGAGUGAUAUAUGUGCCUUUAACAGAUAAAGAGAAGCAGUGGUCCAGGUGGAAGUGAUUUUCUGUUCCACUUUCUUCUUCCACACACACGCAAGAUGAAUGAUGUAUCAAAAAGAGAAAGUCAGUGCUGCCUAAUGACAAGAAAAGUGGAGUGGAUCAAAAAGAGGAUGAAUUGUAAAAGCUACAUCAUCUUGACCCAAACAUAGUGUUACAGUGGACUGCUCAUCUCCAGUUCUAAAAGCUUUUUGAAAACCAACAGCAUUGCAGCUUGUUUUGGACUUCGUUAUACCGUUGUUAUCAGCAUGGAAAAGCGUGUGUUUGUUUUAUUUUUUUUAGAUGCUCAUGGCAAAUCUGAUAAAGAAAUGUUGGAAAGUUUUAUGCAGGCACUGUUUUAUUUAACAUGCCUUUAUUUUACUUUCACCUGUUCAAAGUGAAUGUCUGCUGAACUGCAGAUAAAGACCUAUAGCUUAUGAUCAUCUAAGAUUGAUGGGAGUACUUGAACACUCACUUCUCUUGGCUCCUGUGUCCCUUGGUAAAAAUGCUUCCAUGCACCUUAUGACACUACGUAGGUAAUACCAGGUUUUCAGUGCUCUGGUGUCUGCUAGAUGCUUCUAAAAGGAGAUCAACUUCCUUUUUAAGCUUUUGACACGAUGUCAUAGACUAGCAUGUAGUAGAUACAGUCAGCUGCUUUAUUACCUUAAAAUCAGGCAUUUGUAUAUAUUAAACCUCAAGACAUCAGAGGUGGGUGGCUGCUCUUAUCAAACAUUGCCAUCCAAGUUGGAUGUAAGAGAAGUGUCUAAAAAUGGAAAAUUGUUCUAAAAUUUAUGAAUUCUUCUAAAUUAAUUAGUCUUGAAAUUCUGUCCUGGUUUAUACCUCACUAUUGAUGUGAUGCACAUGAAUCUAAAUAUAAUUUAAGCUGUGUCCCAGUCACUGAACAACUCAGGCAAUGUUGCUUUGCCAAAUAAAAUUAAAAGCAAACAGUGGGGGUUGUGUGCAAGAUUGACAAGAUUGUGCUUGUUUGGAAGAUUAGGAUCAGUAUGUAGCACAACACUGAGAUAUGGAUUGCUAGAAUCUUCAUUUAAAAAAAAAAAAUCCAGUUUGGUUCUAAAAGUUGCUUUUUGCAGAGCCUUUUGCUGUACCAGCCUUCUUGGUUUCCUAACUGUGGUCACCCAGGGAAAAUUGUGGCUUUUUAGAAAGUGAUUUCUUAAUUGCUAUACAAGGAAAACAUUAUUCAUGCAGAAGGAAUUAUGAAUCCUGGACUUCUAAGUACAGACUGAGAUGCAACUCUUCAAUUUUUAUAUAGAAGAGUAGUGGGAAGACUACAGACUUUUUUUUUCUGCCCCAGGUUUUCUAGUUUGGUGCUGUAAAAUGCCAACAGCAAAUUGCAAAGCAGUACAGAAAGGUGAGCUGUUUUGGAAAAGGCAGGAAGUGUGUCCUGAGUCAUCUUCCUCAGAUUUGAGCAACCAGGAUUUAAAGUAAGCAGCAUGUUACCAUUUUUCUCUUUAAAAAAAAAAAGAUGAAUUAUAGAGUAAACCAACUUGUAUAAAGCAGUUGUGAUCACUACAAAAACAUGUGACUUCUUGUGAUGAAACAGCAAUAAUUAUGUGAUAGAAUUAAUCCCUGAAAGCAUAAAGGUAAAAAUUCAAAGGCCUCUGAAUAUGAAAGAGAAACAUUUUAAAUGACCUUCCUUUCAAGGGUCAGCUCUAUCCUGUUCUUGUGUAAAAGAUAUGUAUUACUUAAUUUAUUUAAAUGCUUGGAAGUUAAUGUGCCACCUCCUGAUCUGACUGCAGCCUGCGAGCACAUACACAAAAAUUAAACUUACAAAGGAAUUAGGAUAGUAAGUAUUCUAGAAAAUACAAAUCAGAAAAACCCACUUGCAUCUGACAAAUUUGUACUAACCCACAAAUCAACUGUGAAUCUAGUUCUUGGUGUUGAAGUGAAAUACCUUAAAUGAUGCAUGCUAAUGUGCAACGUUUUGGUCACUAUAAUUCAAUUUGAGUUCAGCUUUAUUUACAUCUUCUCACUAAUUUAAUCAGUUAAAUGAACGAUAGGAGCUCAACUGUAUCCAAAUUCUUGUUUCUGGACACAGUGUAAUAAGCUAGCCUAACUUGGAAGAGGUGGUAAAGCUGAGACCAGGAAACAACUUUUUUUUUCUUGAGAACCACUUCAGGAGGUGUAAGACUUUAGGGACCAAGGCUGGGGAUUAGCACACCCAUCCUACUGAAGGGGUUGAUGGUAAUCCAGGUAUUCAGACAGAAAGGAGUAUCCAGGAGUAGCAGUUAGAAACUGGAAAACUAAAGCCCCUCCAUGAUGGAGCAAUGGUUCUGAAGUAAAAACUUCUUGGAGAAGAGGACAAGUUGAAAUGCAGAAGAUUUGAAGAGCUUGAAUAAAUGCUGUGUGAACUGUCUGAAUUGCUUACUUUGCCAAAUAAAAAAAAAAAAA
Calypte anna (Anna's hummingbird) is the source of this 3287-nucleotide RNA transcript. It is a transcript of the gene named protein-L-isoaspartate (D-aspartate) O-methyltransferase, with no coding region annotated. The record is from RefSeq and is a predicted model, not a curated record. The transcript has 9 exons. NCBI's taxonomy places the organism in Eukaryota, Metazoa, Chordata, Aves, Apodiformes, Trochilidae.